This 507-nucleotide ribosomal RNA is filed under the name uncultured bacterium. RNAcentral describes it as "bacterial SSU rRNA". It matches the Rfam family "Bacterial small subunit ribosomal RNA", at positions 28 to 526 of the family's 1533-position model. The record is from RNAcentral.
GACGAACGCUGGUGGCGUGGAUUAGGCAUGCAAGUCGAACGGUAUCAUCCUUUCGGGGGUGAGAGAGUGGCGAACUGGUGAGUAACACGUAGGUUAUCUACCCUCAAGACGGGGACAACCCAGGGAAACUUGGGCUAAUACCGGAUGUGAGCAACUUUUUAGUUGUUUGAAAGGUGGCGUAAGCUGUCGCUUGGGGAUGAGCCUGCGUCCUAUUAGUUAGUUGGUGAGGUAACGGCUCACCUAGGCAAUGAUAGGUAGGCGGCCUUAACGGGUGGUCGCCCACACUGGGAUUGAGAUACGGCCCAGACUCCUACGGGAGGCAGCAGUCGAGAAUAGUCUACAAUGGUCGGAAGACUGAUAGUGCGACGCCGCGUGAACGAUGAAUCCCUUCGGGGUGUAAAGUUCUUUUAUAUGUGAGCAGUGCUUCUUAUAUUAACAGUAUGGGGAAGAGAUAUUAGCAUAUGAAUAAGCAACGGCUAACUCCGUGCCAGCAGCCGACGGUAAACU